GGUUCGCUUCUACAGUGACGAUAGGUUGUGAACCCGGUCAGGUCCGGAAGGAAGCAGCCGUAGCAGCUGAUGCGGGCAUUGAAUUUCAGCGAGUCG
Molecule: signal recognition particle RNA, 96 nt
Filed under: Gammaproteobacteria bacterium
Lineage: Bacteria; Pseudomonadati; Pseudomonadota; Gammaproteobacteria
Description: signal recognition particle sRNA small type
Rfam family: Bacterial small signal recognition particle RNA
About the family: The signal recognition particle (SRP) is a universally conserved ribonucleoprotein involved in the co-translational targeting of proteins to membranes. Archaeal SRP consists of a 7S RNA and homologues of the eukaryotic SRP19 and SRP54 proteins.
Source: RNAcentral